RNAcentral lists this ribosomal RNA (378 nucleotides) under uncultured bacterium. RNAcentral describes it as "bacterial SSU rRNA". It matches the Rfam family "Bacterial small subunit ribosomal RNA", at positions 29 to 407 of the family's 1533-position model. The record is from RNAcentral.
AUUGAACGCUGGCGGCAUGCCUUACACAUGCAAGUCGAACGUGAAAGGGGGGCAACCCCCGAGUAGAGUGGCGGACGGGUGAGUAACACAUCGGAACGUACCCAGUAGUGGGGGACAACCUCGAAGAAAUCGAGGCUAAUACCGCAUACGACCCACGGGUGAAAGCGGGGGACCGCAAGGCCUCGCGCUAUUGGAGCGGCCGAUGUCCGAUUAGCUUGUUGGCGGGGUAAGAGCCCACCAAGGCGACGAUCGGUAGCUGGUCUGAGAGGAUGAUCAGCCACACUGGGACUGAGACACGGCCCAGACUCCUACGGGAGGCAGCAGGUGGGGAAUUUUGGACAAUGGGGGCAACCCUGAUCCAGCCAUGCCGCGUGUGUG